AGAACGAACGCUGGCGGCAGGCUUAACACAUGCAAGUCGAGCGCCUCGCAAGAGGAGCGGCAGACGGGUGAGUAACACGUGGGAACGUGCCCAAAGGUACGGAACAACUCCGGGAAACUGGAGCUAAUACCGUAUGUGCCCGAAAGGGGAAAGAUUUAUCGCCUUUGGAUCGGCCCGCGUCUGAUUAGCUAGUUGGCGGGGUAAUGGCCCACCAAGGCGACGAUCAGUAGCUGGUCUGAGAGGAUGACCAGCCACAUUGGGACUGAGACACGGCCCAAACUCCUACGGGAGGCAGCAGUGGGGAAUAUUGGACAAUGGGCGCAAGCCUGAUCCAGCCAUGCCGCGUGAGUGAUGAAGGCCUUAGGGUUGUAAAGCUCUUUCGCCGAGGACGAUAAUGACGGUACCGCAAGAAUAAGCCCGGCUAACUUCGUGCCAGCAGCCGC
RNAcentral lists this ribosomal RNA (443 nucleotides) under uncultured bacterium. Its description in RNAcentral is "SSU rRNA". It matches the Rfam family "Bacterial small subunit ribosomal RNA", at positions 26 to 518 of the family's 1533-position model. The record is from RNAcentral.